Molecule: small RNA, 892 nt
Filed under: Quadriacanthus sp. 1 AS-2013
Lineage: Eukaryota; Metazoa; Platyhelminthes; Monogenea; Dactylogyridea; Ancylodiscoididae
Description: bacterial SSU rRNA
Rfam family: Eukaryotic small subunit ribosomal RNA (bases 1-480)
Source: RNAcentral
GGACAUUCAUGCUGCUGCUCAGGUAGUAGCAUGGAACCAUGUAAGCAGGUGAGACUUCUUAGAGGGACUGACACAUUACAUAAAGUGUACGAGGAAGAGCAAUAACAGGUCUGUGAUGCCCUAAGAUGUCCGGGGCCGCACGCGUGCUACAAUGACGAUGCAAGUGAGCAUGAUUUGCCUGGUUCGAAAGAAUUGGGAAAACUGUUUAAUCAUCGUCGUUACUGGGAUUGGGGUUUGCAAUUAUCCCCCAUGAACGAGGAAUUCCUAGUAAGCACAAGUCAUAAGCUUGUGCUGAUUACGUCCCUGCCCUUUGUACACACCGCCCGUCGCUACUACCGAUUGAAUGUUUUAGCAAGGUCAUUGGAUUGGCUAUUUGUGGUUCACGCUGCAAUCAGCUGAGAAGAUGACCGAACUUGAGCAUUUAGAGGAAGUAAAAGUCGUAACAAGGUUUCCGUAGGUGAACCUGCGGAAGGAUCAUUACCAUUAACAUUCCUAUCAACACUGACUAUGUACUAUGAAACUGCUUCGGUGGUCGAUUGGUGCUUAGUCUAGUGAACCGUUCCCAUGGGUCUGCCCCAAGGAACAAAAACGUAGUACAUUAAUUGUCGAACGGAGAGGUAGCUGGUAUACAGGACCAUGUAGCAGUGUAUCCUGGUUAGCCAGUUUAUCACCCACCAUUAGGAGGGUUCCAACUUUCACUCCGAUUUCGAUUCUGCUACUCCCCCGUUAUGCGUAUUAAUCAUUCUAUCAUUAUUGGAUGUUGUACCUGAGCAAUUGGGUGCACAUUCGCCUGGAAUGUCCAUUCUGAGUUUCAGCGAAAGCUGUCGCUUGGAGUUGCAUUCCAUUGUUGUAUGUGUCCUUCACGGGACAUGUUCAACAUAUCCGACAACUA